RNAcentral lists this ribosomal RNA (253 nucleotides) under uncultured bacterium. RNAcentral describes it as "partial 16S ribosomal RNA". It matches the Rfam family "Bacterial small subunit ribosomal RNA", at positions 524 to 776 of the family's 1533-position model. The record is from RNAcentral.
UACGUAGGGUGCGAGCGUUGUCCGGAAUUACUGGGCGUAAAGAGCUCGUAGGCGGCUUGUCGCGUUGUCCGUGAAAAUUUACCGCUCAACGGUGAACUUGCGGGCGAUACGGGCAGGCUAGAGUACUGCAGGGGAGACUGGAAUUCCUGGUGUAGCGGUGAAAUGCGCAGAUAUCAGGAGGAACACCGGUGGCGAAGGCGGUUCUCUGGGAAUAUCCUGACGCUGAGGAGCGAAAGUGUGGGGAGCGAACAGG